This 735-nucleotide ribosomal RNA is filed under the name uncultured bacterium. RNAcentral's name for it is "bacterial SSU rRNA". It matches the Rfam family "Bacterial small subunit ribosomal RNA", at positions 102 to 857 of the family's 1533-position model. The record is from RNAcentral.
ACGGGUGAGUAACGCGUGGGUAACCUACCCUGUACACACGGAUAACAUACCGAAAGGUAUGCUAAUACGGGAUAAUAUAUUUGAGAGGCAUCUCUUAAAUAUCAAAGGUGAGCCAGUACAGGAUGGACCCGCGUCUGAUUAGCUAGUUGGUAAGGUAACGGCUUACCAAGGCGACGAUCAGUAGCCGACCUGAGAGGGUGAUCGGCCACAUUGGAACUGAGACACGGUCCAAACUCCUACGGGAGGCAGCAGUGGGGAAUAUUGCACAAUGGGCGAAAGCCUGAUGCAGCAACGCCGCGUGAGUGAUGAAGGCCUUCGGGUCGUAAAACUCUGUCCUCAAGGAAGAUAAUGACGGUACUUGAGGAGGAAGCCCCGGCUAACUACGUGCCAGCAGCCGCGGUAAUACGUAGGGGGCUAGCGUUAUCCGGAUUUACUGGGCGUAAAGGGUGCGUAGGCGGUCUUUCAGGUCAGGAGUGAAAGGCUACGGCUCAACCGUAGUAAGCUCUUGAAACUGGGAGACUUGAGUGCAGGAGAGGAGAGUGGAAUUCCUAGUGUAGCGGUGAAAUGCGUAGAUAUUAGGAGGAACACCAGUUGCGAAGGCGGCUCUCUGGACUGUAACUGACGCUGAGGCACGAAAGCGUGGGGAGCAAACAGGAUUAGAUACCCUGGUAGUCCACGCUGUAAACGAUGAGUACUAGGUGUCGGGGGUUACCCCCUUCGGUGCCGCAGCUAACG